UACGUAGGGUGCGAGCGUUGUCCGGAAUUACUGGGCGUAAAGCGUGCGUAGAUGGUUACGUAAGUCGGAUGUGAAAGCCCCGGGCUCAACCUGGGAAUUGCAUUCGAGACUGCAUAGCUAGGAUGCGGAAGAGGGAAGCGGAAUUUCCGGUGUAGCGGUGAAAUGCGUAGAUAUCGGAAGGAACACCAGUGGCGAAAGCGGCUUCCUGGUCCAGCAUCGACGUUCAGGCACGAAAGCGUGGGGAGCAAACAGG
This 253-nucleotide ribosomal RNA is filed under the name uncultured bacterium. Its description in RNAcentral is "partial 16S ribosomal RNA". It matches the Rfam family "Bacterial small subunit ribosomal RNA", at positions 524 to 776 of the family's 1533-position model. The record is from RNAcentral.